UCACCUGACCAAUGCGAUACCACUGAUACUCAUCAAAAGAAGCGGCAGUAAGAAUGACCUGAGGGAAGCUAGUGGCGGCUCGAAUGGUGCCGUCAAAAUGAAUUCCACGUCCCACAUUGGCGAUCCCAUGUAAUGCUUCGGACCACCACUCAUAAGCCGGGAUACCGAGUCGGGGAACCGGUGGGGCUGAGCUAACGAGUUGGGAAAUCUUCUCAUCUAAUGUGAGCCUAGAAACAAGGUCCCUGGCUCUUUGGGUGAUGGGUAAUGUGGUUUCACAAAAAGGGUAGGAGCUUGUUGAUGGGUUUGAUGGAUCACAAGAGAAUGGAGGCUGAGUUGAGGCAGCUCGGAAGACAAGCAGAGAAAAGAUAGUGAAGAUUACGUAAGAGGGGACUUGGGGUCUCAUUAUGGACUUUUGGUGAGCGGCCACUGGCCAGUGGCGAGUGAGAGCUUACUGAACAGAAGUUUGGUAGAUCAAUGAUGUUUCAUCUGAAAUGACGGAAUUCACCUUGUGGGUAUGAAUGUUUUAUUGGAAAAUUAUGGUUUUGGAUAAGAUAAACAAUUGUUUCUUUAAUUUGCACCUGUAGGGAUGAAUUGCAAGUUGCAACAAAAAACAAAAAGCAGCCGUAACCGAGAAAAAGAAAAUUUCAAGUUGGGGUUUCACUUUCAUGGAUAUACGAAGGAGAUUCCUUUUAAGCCCAGCUUUGAUUUUCAUCUGCAAACAAUUUCGUUUUCCAUUUUGUAUGUUCGUCAAAAGAUGGAAAUGAAUUCAAGAAAGAGGCGUUGUGUUUGUGCGCUGAGCAGUAAGCCAACCCAUUUGAAUAUAGGAGCAGCUUCAAUACGUCCAUAUUAGAAUCUAUCCCACCUUUGAGGCCCCAGCCCAGUUCAUUAGUUGCCCUGCAUUUCUGGCUAAUCGCCCUUGGUCGUUGAAAGCUGCUAGCAAUUUUUGCACUAAAACCAAUAAAUAUAUGUUAUCAUUCCUUGAAUUUUCUUUUCAACCGAUAUUGACGAUUAUUGUUUUAUAAAUUAUCUUAUCCUAAUGUUUACUUACUGUCCUAUGAAAUUGACACCAUGAAAUGUCGGUGAGUAAUGUAAG
This 1093-nucleotide unclassified non-coding RNA is filed under the name Hevea brasiliensis (rubber tree). The record is from RNAcentral. Lineage: Eukaryota; Viridiplantae; Streptophyta; Magnoliopsida; Malpighiales; Euphorbiaceae.